AUACGGAGGAUCCGAGCGUUAUCCGGAUUUAUUGGGUUUAAAGGGUGCGCAGGCGGCCAUUUAAGUCAGCGGUUAAAUCGUGGGGCUCAGCCCCAUUCUGCCGUUGAUACUGGGUGGCUUGAUUGCGGUCGAGGUUGGCGGAAUUCGUUGUGUAGCGGUGAAAUGCAUAGAUAUGACGAAGAACACCGAAUGAGUAGGCAUCUGACCAGACCGCAAAUGACGCUGAUGCACGAAAGUGCGGGGGUGGAACAGGAUUAGAUACCCUAGUAGUCCGCACAGUAAAAGAAGAAUACUGGUUUUCGGCGAUAUAAUGUCGGAGGCAAAGCGAAAGCGAUAAGUAUUCCACCUGGGGAGUACGCCGGCAACGGUGAAACUCAAAUGAAUUGACGGGG
This 392-nucleotide ribosomal RNA is filed under the name uncultured bacterium. RNAcentral's name for it is "partial 16S ribosomal RNA". It matches the Rfam family "Bacterial small subunit ribosomal RNA", at positions 523 to 918 of the family's 1533-position model. The record is from RNAcentral.